Molecule: transfer RNA, 69 nt
Filed under: Acrocephalus arundinaceus (great reed warbler)
Lineage: Eukaryota; Metazoa; Chordata; Aves; Passeriformes; Sylviidae
Description: tRNA-Met
Source: RNAcentral
AGCAAGGUCAGCUAAAAAAGCUAUCGGGCCCAUACCCCGAAAAAGAGGGUUUCACCCCUCCCGCUGCUA